CCGUGCUAGCCGGGGAGGCAGCGGUGCCCUGUACUCACAAUCCGCUAUAGUGAGGGUGAUGUCUGUUCUCGGUACAGCGCUUGACAGCCUGCCCGUGGAAAACGGCGUUGAUGCUUUGGUCUUACGCAAUAGGAGCCUGUGAAUCGUGUCAGGGUCGGAAGGCAGCAGCACUAAGCAGUCUACUUCUGUGUGUUGUAAGGGUGCUGAGGAGGAGUCGUGGAACACGGUAACGUGUUGGGCGUUGUAACAAAAACAGAUGCACGG
This 264-nucleotide signal recognition particle RNA is filed under the name Anaerotignum neopropionicum. RNAcentral describes it as "Clostridium neopropionicum Bacterial large signal recognition particle RNA". It matches the Rfam family "Bacterial large signal recognition particle RNA". Rfam says of the family: The signal recognition particle (SRP) is a universally conserved ribonucleoprotein involved in the co-translational targeting of proteins to membranes. The record is from Rfam by way of RNAcentral. Lineage: Bacteria; Bacillati; Bacillota; Clostridia; Lachnospirales; Anaerotignaceae.